Molecule: ribosomal RNA, 27 nt
Filed under: Swartzia aptera
Lineage: Eukaryota; Viridiplantae; Streptophyta; Magnoliopsida; Fabales; Fabaceae
Also listed under: 8 other names
Description: partial 26S ribosomal RNA
Source: RNAcentral
CGGGACCUCAGGUCAGGCGGGGCUACC